UACGUAGGGUGCAAGCGUUGUCCGGAAUUAUUGGGCGUAAAGAGCUCGUAGGCGGCUUGUCGCGUCUGCUGUGAAAUCCCGGGGCUCAACUCCGGGCCUGCAGUGGGUACGGGCAGGCUAGAGUGCGGUAGGGGAGAUUGGAAUUCCUGGUGUAGCGGUGGAAUGCGCAGAUAUCAGGAGGAACACCGAUGGCGAAGGCAGAUCUCUGGGCCGUAACUGACGCUGAGGAGCGAAAGCAUGGGGAGCGAACAGG
RNAcentral lists this ribosomal RNA (253 nucleotides) under uncultured bacterium. Its description in RNAcentral is "partial 16S ribosomal RNA". It matches the Rfam family "Bacterial small subunit ribosomal RNA", at positions 524 to 776 of the family's 1533-position model. The record is from RNAcentral.